This 469-nucleotide ribosomal RNA is filed under the name uncultured bacterium. RNAcentral's name for it is "partial 16S ribosomal RNA". It matches the Rfam family "Bacterial small subunit ribosomal RNA", at positions 28 to 506 of the family's 1533-position model. The record is from RNAcentral.
GACGAACGCUGGCGGCGUGCUUAACACAUGCAAGUCGAACGCUGAAGCACCAGCUUGCUGGUGUGGAUGAGUGGCGAACGGGUGAGUAAUACGUGAGUAACCUGCCCUUGACUCUGGGAUAAGCCCGGGAAACUGGGUCUAAUACUGGAUGCUACAUGUCACCGCAUGGUGGUGUGUGGAAAGGGUUUACUGGUCUUGGAUGGGCUCACGGCCUAUCAGCUUGUUGGUGAGGUAAUGGCUCACCAAGGCGACGACGGGUAGCCGGCCUGAGAGGGUGACCGGCCACACUGGGACUGAGACACGGCCCAGACUCCUACGGGAGGCAGCAGUGGGGAAUAUUGCACAAUGGGCGAAAGCCUGAUGCAGCGACGCCGCGUGAGGGAUGACGGCCUUCGGGUUGUAAACCUCUUUCAGCAGGGAAGAAGCCACAAGUGACGGUACCUGCAGAAGAAGCGCCGGCUAACUACGG